This 253-nucleotide ribosomal RNA is filed under the name uncultured bacterium. RNAcentral describes it as "partial 16S ribosomal RNA". It matches the Rfam family "Bacterial small subunit ribosomal RNA", at positions 524 to 776 of the family's 1533-position model. The record is from RNAcentral.
UACGUAGGGCGCAAGCGUUGUUCGGAAUUAUUGGGCGUAAAGAGCUUGUAGGCGGUUUGUUGAGUCUGCUGUGAAAUCUCGGGGCUCAACCCCGAACUUGCAGUGGGUACGGGCAGACUAGAGUGUGGUAGGGGAGACUGGAAUUCCUGGUGUAGCGGUGAAAUGCGCAGAUAUCAGGAGGAACACCGAUGGCGAAGGCGGGUCUCUGGGCCGCUACUGACGCUGAGGAGCGAAAGCGUGGGGAGCAAACGGG